GGGACGAACGCUGGCGGCGGGCUUAACACAUGCAAGUCGAACGGAGCCUUCGGGCUUAGUGGCGCACGAGUGAGUAACACGUAGGCAACCUACCCUUAGCUGGGGAAUAACCAGGGGGAACCCUGGCUAAUACCGCAUAACGUCUCGGCACCGCCUGGUGCCCUGACCAAAGCUCCGGCGGCUAGGGAUGGGCCUGCGUCAGAUUAGCUAGUUGGUGGGGUAACGGCCCACCAAGGCUACGAUCUGUAGCGGGUCUGAGAGGAUGAUCCGCCACACUGGCACUGAGACACGGGCCAGACUCCGUACGGGAGGCAGGCAGUGAGGAUAUGCGCAAUGGGCGAAAGCCUAGACGCAGCCACGCCGCGUGCGAGGAGACCACCCCUCGUGGGCGUAAACGUGCGUUUUGUGUGAAGAAGAACGGCCCUCG
This 427-nucleotide ribosomal RNA is filed under the name uncultured soil bacterium. Its description in RNAcentral is "bacterial SSU rRNA". It matches the Rfam family "Bacterial small subunit ribosomal RNA", at positions 27 to 461 of the family's 1533-position model. The record is from RNAcentral.